UUCCAUUUUAACUACGAAAUGAUUUUCUUUAUUUAAGGUUGACUUUAUCCUAAUUGAAUUUGAAUUAAUGAAUUUUAAUUAAAGUUUGUAAAAUUAUGACAAUAUUAGGUUAUUGACUUAAGAGAAAAUAAGAAAACAGUAUAAUUGGUAUCUAAAUUAUCAGAAAAAAGGUUUUCAGUUUUUUAAAAUAUAAUCAAACAAACAAAAUCGAAUUUCCUUUAAUUUUUUCCUCCAUCUUAUUUUAUUUUCUUCCCUUACCGUUCCACUUCCUCUCUUCUUUCUCUCUUAUUUUUCCUUUUUUCUCCUCCUUGUGUCGCCUAAACUCCUAGGUUUUUUCCCAUGUCUGUCACCCUCUCCUCUUCUUUGUGUGGUGCCGUUUUGCUUCCCUUUCUCCUCUCCUUUUGUUGCUGUUUUUGCAGUCAAUUCAUUGUUAUUUCUGGCCUCCAGAAUCAUUCCUUUUGUUGCCAAAAGUUCCUCUUUUGUUCUGCCCUAAUCAGAUCUCUUUUGUCAUCACCUGUAGGGGUGUUCUGCCCUUUGAUCACCACUUUUGGAGUUGCCAUUUUUCGUUCUUUUACUGCACUAUCUGAUAUCUUAUUCCAUCAUUUAUUCCUUGUUUAUAACAGCCCCAAAAUUUUCAAUUGAGUGUGCAUUCAAUCUCUUUUAGGUUGUUGAUUCAAAUCUAGGAAAUGAUAUCUGUAAAUGCGAAUUAUUCCGUUUAAAAUUUGUUGUUUUGGGUUGGUUGUUCUAGGGCCUUAGAUUGAUUUUUACGUACUGAUUUUUAAUAAUAUUUUGGUAUUAGUUAUUGAUUUUAACACCCCGGUUCAGCAGUGAAGUCAGAUCUUAGCCGCACUAUCGUUUUGGGUUAAAAUAAUCUAAGUUCACUUAUGGUUUCGGAUCUGAAAAUUUGGUGAUGUGGCACUGCCUUGGCCGAACCCUUGGGGUGUUUCAAGGUUGGAUUUUAUCGAUAAUUUAACGUAUUAGGUGCUAUUUUUUUGGAUUUAGGUUUGUUUAAGGCUUAAGUGCGGAAGUGCAAAUUUUUACGGGUUAUGACUGCAAAUUGCAAAUUAAGGGAAACCUCGAAACUAGGACCGGACCCGACAUACGGAGUAUCACCUCGAACACCGGAUUAUUUUUAAAUAAGUAUUUUUAAUAAAUUUUUUAUUGGUUUUGGAUUGUAAUUUUAAGUUUCUAAUUUGUGGUUUGAUUUUUUUGUUUUGGGACUUCUAUCAUGCAUUAUUCAUUCGAAUGGUUCGGAUUUAAUAACCAGUAAUUGUAUGUUAUUCGACCUAAGUAAAA
Long non-coding RNA from Gossypium arboreum, 1296 nucleotides. RefSeq lists it as uncharacterized. NCBI's taxonomy places the organism in Eukaryota, Viridiplantae, Streptophyta, Magnoliopsida, Malvales, Malvaceae. The record is from RefSeq and is a predicted model, not a curated record. The transcript is spliced from 2 exons.